AUUCUUUAUUUUAUCUUUUCCAGAACCUCCUGCACCCCGAAGCCCGGCCCGCAUGCCAUUGCCCCCUAAAACUGUAGGACGAGACCUUCCACCACAAAUAAUGAAGCCACCUGUUCCCAGAGCCAAAUCUAGUUCGGUUCUGAUCGGUGACACGGUGAACAAAGUUCUGCCGCCGGAAGUAAAACGCGCCACGUUUUCUGGCCAGCUGCCACCCGCACUAAACAGCAAACCGGUUCCUCCCAUCAUCCUCCCCAAAGAACCCAAACCCAGGUGAGUCUUUGAAGCCUUUACCUCUUUACAUGUUCAGAAACGUCCUGGAC
This 320-nucleotide long non-coding RNA is filed under the name Sinocyclocheilus grahami. RNAcentral's name for it is "lncRNA (ENSSGRG00000040324.1)". Lineage: Eukaryota; Metazoa; Chordata; Actinopteri; Cypriniformes; Cyprinidae. The record is from RNAcentral.